UGCUCAUACAAAAACUUUCAUAAAAGUGUGAAUUAUAAUUCAUAAUAUGUCGUUGCUUAAACUUUGUUCUAUUAUCACCAUUCUUCUCAUGGCAACCACUAUUAAUAUAUCGUGGUUCUCAAAGACACAAGCUAUAGCUGCACUGGAUAUUGAUCAUGAUCUGUCAGGACUCAAGAGCAGAUUACUUCCACAACUUGCGACUUGUUGGAGAAGUUGUACUACCAACAAUGACUGCAGUGAUUGUUGGGUUUGUUGUACUUGUCAUUUGACCAUUGCAGAUGGUACAUAUAUGUGCAUGAAUGUCUAGAUUAAUUAUCACUAGAUAAGUAAUUCCCUGUGAUUUUAGUGCUUCUGUCGUAUUAUCUACUUUCCAUGUCUUUCAUAAUUUGUACGAAUAAUGAAAAAAUUUGCUUGCAAAUGAUUUUCCAUUCAGAAAUAAUAAUGGAUUCUUGUGUGACUAA
Nicotiana tabacum (common tobacco) is the source of this 461-nucleotide long non-coding RNA. RefSeq lists it as uncharacterized. The record is from RefSeq and is a predicted model, not a curated record. NCBI's taxonomy places the organism in Eukaryota, Viridiplantae, Streptophyta, Magnoliopsida, Solanales, Solanaceae.